GAUGAACGCUGGCGGCGUGCUUAACACAUGCAAGUCGAACGAUGAAGCCCAGCUUGCUGGGUGGAUUAGUGGCGAACGGGUGAGUAACACGUGAGUAACCUGCCCUUGACUCUGGGAUAAGCCCGGGAAACUGGGUCUAAUACCGGAUAGGAGCGCCUGUCGCAUGACGGGUGUUGGAAAGAUUUUUCGGUCAUGGAUGGACUCGCGGCCUAUCAGCUUGUUGGUGAGGUAAUGGCUCACCAAGGCGACGACGGGUAGCCGGCCUGAGAGGGUGACCGGCCACACUGGGACUGAGACACGGCCCAGACUCCUACGGGAGGCAGCAGUGGGGAAUAUUGCACAAUGGGCGGAAGCCUGAUGCAGCGACGCCGCGUGAGGGAUGACGGCCUUCGGGUUGUAAACCUCUUUCAGUAGGGAAGAAGCGAAAGUGACGUACCUGCAGAAGAGCC
RNAcentral lists this ribosomal RNA (449 nucleotides) under Micrococcus sp. oral taxon F54. RNAcentral describes it as "bacterial SSU rRNA". It matches the Rfam family "Bacterial small subunit ribosomal RNA", at positions 28 to 491 of the family's 1533-position model. Lineage: Bacteria; Bacillati; Actinomycetota; Actinomycetes; Micrococcales; Micrococcaceae. The record is from RNAcentral.